RNAcentral lists this ribosomal RNA (506 nucleotides) under uncultured bacterium. RNAcentral's name for it is "partial 16S ribosomal RNA". It matches the Rfam family "Bacterial small subunit ribosomal RNA", at positions 899 to 1397 of the family's 1533-position model. The record is from RNAcentral.
ACUCAAAGGAAUAGACGGGGGCCCGCACAAGCGGUGGAGCAUGUGGUUUAAUUCGACGCAACGCGAAGAACCUUACCUAGGCUUGAACUACUGGAAGUAGUCCUGAUGAAAGUCGGGGCGAACCGUCAAGUCGGAAACCAGCAGAGGUGCUGCAUGGCUGUCGUCAGCUCGUGUCGUGAGAUGUUGGGUUAAGUCCCGCAACGAGCGCAACCCUUAUUCUAUGUUGCCAGGUCCGCAAGGACGGAACUCUUAGAAAACUGCCUCGGAUAACGGGGAGGAAGGUGGGGAUGACGUCAAGUCACCAUGGCCUUUAUGUCUAGGGCUACACACGUGCUACAAUGGUCGGUACAGCGAGCAGCUAAUCCGUAAGGAGGAGCAAAUCUCUAAAAGCCGGCCCCAGUUCAGAUAGUGGGCUGCAAUUCGCCCACUUGAAGGUGGAAUCGCUAGUAAUCGGGGAUCAGCUGGCCCCGGUGAAUACGUUCCCGGGCCUUGUACACACCGCCCGU